Molecule: ribosomal RNA, 799 nt
Filed under: uncultured Glomus
Lineage: Eukaryota; Fungi; Glomeromycota; Glomeromycetes; Glomerales; Glomeraceae
Description: SSU rRNA
Rfam family: Eukaryotic small subunit ribosomal RNA
Source: RNAcentral
AUCAACUUUCGAUGGUAGGAUAGAGGCCUACCAUGGUGGUAACGGGUAACGGGGUGUUAGGGCACGACACCGGGGAGGGAGCCUGAGAAACGGCUACCACAUCCAAGGAUGGCAGCAGGCGCGCAAAUUACCCAAUCCCGAUACGGGGAGGUAGUGACAAUAAAUAACAAUACGGGGUUCUUUAGGAUCUCGUAAUUGGAAUGAGUACAAUUUAAAUCUCUUAACGAGGAACAAUUGGAGGGCAAGUCUGGUGCCAGCAGCCGCGGUAAUUCCAGCUCCAAUAGCGUAUAUUAAAGUUGUUGCAGUUAAAAAGCUCGUAGUUGAAUUUCGGGGUUAGCAGGUUGGUCAUGCCUCUGGUAUGUACUGGUCUCACUGAUUCCUCCUUCCUGAUGAACCUUAAUGCCAUUUAUUUGGUGUUUUGGGGAAUUUGGAUUGUUACUUUGAAAAAAUUAGAGUGUUUAGAGCAAGCUAACGCUUGAAUACAUUAGCAUGGAAUAAUGAAAUAGGACGUUCGAUCCUAUUUUGUUGGUUUCUAGGAUUGACGUAAUGAUUAAUAGGGAUAGUUGGGGGCAUUAGUAUUCAAUUGUCAGAGGUGAAAUUCUUGGAUUUAUUGAAGACUAACUACUGCGAAAGCAUUUGCCAAGGAUGUUUUCAUUAAUCAAGAACGAAAGUUAGGGGAUCGAAGACGAUCAGAUACCGUCGUAGUCUUAACCAUAAACUAUGCCGACUAGGGAUCGGAUGAUGUUAAUUUUUUAAUGACUCAUUCGGCGCCUUACGGGAAACCAAAGUGUUUGGGUUC